GCAGGAUUGGUAUAUCGGUAUUACCCCAGCUUCCCAAGCUGGUGAGGCGGGUUCGACUCCCGUAUCCUGCUCCA
Molecule: transfer RNA, 74 nt
Filed under: Ruminiclostridium sp.
Lineage: Bacteria; Bacillati; Bacillota; Clostridia; Eubacteriales; Oscillospiraceae
Description: tRNA-Gly
Rfam family: tRNA
About the family: Transfer RNA (tRNA) molecules are approximately 80 nucleotides in length. Their secondary structure includes four short double-helical elements and three loops (D, anti-codon, and T loops).
Source: RNAcentral